This 447-nucleotide ribosomal RNA is filed under the name uncultured bacterium. RNAcentral describes it as "bacterial SSU rRNA". It matches the Rfam family "Bacterial small subunit ribosomal RNA", at positions 330 to 793 of the family's 1533-position model. The record is from RNAcentral.
ACCAGACUCCUACGGGAGGCAGCAGUGGGGGAUAUUGCACAAUGGGGGGAACCCUGAUGCAGCGACGCCGCGUGGGUGAAGAAGCGCCUCGGCGCGUAAAGCCCUGUCAGCAGGGAAGAAAAUGACGGUACCUGAAGAAGAAGCCCCGGCUAACUACGUGCCAGCAGCCGCGGUAAUACGUAGGGGGCAAGCGUUAUCCGGAUUUACUGGGUGUAAAGGGGGCGCAGACGGCGAUGCAGGCCAGGAGUGAAAGCCCGGGGCCCAACCCCGGGACUGCUCUUGGAACUGCGUGGCUGGAGUGCAGGAGGGGCAGGCGGAAUUCCUAGUGUAGCGGUGAAAUGCGUAGAUAUUAGGAGGAACACCAGUGGCGAAGGCGGCCUGCUGGACGGUGUACUGACGCUGAGGCUCGAAAGCGUGGGGAGCAAACAGGAUUAGAUACCCGGGUAA